CUCGGGGGGGGUUCCCUCAGCCCAGAUUGUGAGAGGGUGCAGGCCAGGCCAAGGGACCCCACCGGUGCACU
This 71-nucleotide microRNA precursor is filed under the name Myotis brandtii (Brandt's bat). Its description in RNAcentral is "mir-9193 microRNA precursor family". It matches the Rfam family "mir-9193 microRNA precursor family". The record is from Rfam by way of RNAcentral. Lineage: Eukaryota; Metazoa; Chordata; Mammalia; Chiroptera; Vespertilionidae.